CAGCCGCCGCGGUAAUACGUAGGGUGCGAGCGUUAAUCGGAUUUACUGGGCGUAAAGCGUGCGCAGGCGGCCCGUUAAGACAGGUGUGAAAUCCCUGGGCUCAACCUAGGAAUUGCGCUUGUGACUGGCGGGCUCGAGUACGGUAGAGGGGGGUGGAAUUCCUGGUGUAGCUGUGAAAUGCGUAGAGAUCAGGAGGAACACCGAUGGCGAAGGCAGCCCCCUGGGCCUGUACUGACGCUCAUGCACGAAAGCGUGGGGAGCAAACAGGAUUAGAUACCCUGGUAGUCCACGCCCUAAACGAUGGGUACUAGCCGUUUGGUGCGCGAUAGCGCUGAGUGGCGAAGCUAACGCGUGAAGUACCCCGCCUGGGGAGUACGGCCGCAAGGUUGAAACUUAAAGGAAUUGGCGGG
RNAcentral lists this ribosomal RNA (410 nucleotides) under uncultured microorganism. RNAcentral describes it as "bacterial SSU rRNA". It matches the Rfam family "Bacterial small subunit ribosomal RNA", at positions 509 to 917 of the family's 1533-position model. The record is from RNAcentral.